RNAcentral lists this ribosomal RNA (443 nucleotides) under uncultured bacterium. Its description in RNAcentral is "partial 16S ribosomal RNA". It matches the Rfam family "Bacterial small subunit ribosomal RNA", at positions 338 to 795 of the family's 1533-position model. The record is from RNAcentral.
CCUACGGGUGGCAGCAGUGGGGAAUAUUGGGCAAUGGGCGCAAGCCUGACCCAGCAACGCCGCGUGAAGGAAGAAGGCUUUCGGGUUGUAAACUUCUUUUGUCAGGGACGAAGCAAGUGACGGUACCUGACGAAUAAGCCAAGGCUAACUACGUGCCAGCAGCCGCGGUAAUACGUAGGUGGCAAGCGUUAUCCGGAUUUACUGGGUGUAAAGGGCGUGUAGGCGGGGAAGCAAGUCAGAUGUGAAAAUCACGGGCUCAACCGGUAGCCUGCAUUUGAUACUGGUUUUCUUGAGUACUGGUGAGGCAGACGGAAUUCGUGGUGUAGCGGUGAAAUGCGUAGAUAUUAGGAGGAACACCAGUGGCGAAGGCGGUCUGCUGGACAGCAACUGACGCUGAGGCGCGAAAGCGUGGGGAGCAAACAGGAUUAGAUACCCUGGUAGUC